RNAcentral lists this ribosomal RNA (491 nucleotides) under uncultured bacterium. RNAcentral describes it as "bacterial SSU rRNA". It matches the Rfam family "Bacterial small subunit ribosomal RNA", at positions 31 to 507 of the family's 1533-position model. The record is from RNAcentral.
GAACGCUGGCGGCGCGUCUUAAGCAUGCAAGUCGAACGGCAAGAUUGGUGCUUGCACCGAUCCUAGAGUGGCGGACUGGUGAGUAACGCGUGGGUGACGUACCCUAAGGAUGGGGAUAGCUGGUAGAAAUAUCAGAUAAUACCGAAUAUCCUUAUUGUUGUUAGAGGACAGUAAGGAAAGGAGCUUUGGCUUCGCCUAAGGAUGGGCCUGCGUCUGAUUAGCUAGUUGGUGGGGUAACGGCCCACCAAGGCGACGAUCAGUAGCCGGUCUGAGAGGAUGAACGGCCACAUUGGGACUGAGACACGGCCCAAACUCCUACGGGAGGCAGCAGUGGGGAAUCUUCCGCAAUGGGCGCAAGCCUGACGGAGCAACGCCGCGUGAGUGAAGAAGGUUUUCGGAUCGUAAAGCUCUGUUGAGAGGGACGAGAGAUAUAAUCAGGAAAUGGGUUAUAGAGGACGGUACCUUUCGAGGAAGCCACGGCUAACUACGUG